AUUGCCCUAGUAACGGCGAGUGAAGCGGCAACAGCUCAAAUUUGAAAUCUGGCUUCGGCCCGAGUUGUAAUUUGUAGAGGAUGCUUUUGGUGCGGUGCCUUCUGAGUUCCCUGGAACGGGACGCCACAGAGGGUGAGAGCCCCGUAUAGUCGGACACCAAGCCUCUGUAAAGCUCCUUCGACGAGUCGAGUAGUUUGGGAAUGCUGCUCAAAAUGGGAGGUAAAUGCCUUCUAAAGCUAAAUACUGGCCAGAGACCGAUAGCGCACAAGUAGAGUGAUCGAAAGAUGAAAAGCACUUUGAAAAGAGGGUUAAACAGCACGUGAAAUUGUUGAAAGGGAAGCGCUUGUGACCAGACUUGCGCCAGGUGGAUCAUCCAGCGUUCUCGCUGGUGCACUCUGCCUGGUUCAGGCCAGCAUCGGUUUUCUCAGUGGGAUAAAGGCUCUGGGAAUGUAGCUCCUCCGGGAGUGUUAUAGCCCGUUGCACAAUACCUCUGAGGGGACCGAGGUUCGCGCUCUGCAAGGAUGCUGGCGUAAUGGUCAUCAGCGGCCCGUCUUGAAACACGGACCAAGGAGUCAAGCAUUAGGGCGAGUGUUUGGGUGCAAAACCCGCACGCGUAAUGAAAGUGAACGUAGGUGAGAGCUUCGGCGCAUCAUCGACCGAUCCUGAUGUAUUCGGAUGGAUUUGAGUAAGAGCCUUACCGCUUGGACCCGAAAGAUGGUGAACUAUGCUUGUAUAGGGUGAAGCCAGAGGAAACUCUGGUGGAGGCUCGCAGCGGUUCUGACGUGCAAAUCGAUCGUCAAAUAUGAGCAUGGGGGCGAAAGACUAACGAA
This 830-nucleotide ribosomal RNA is filed under the name Conlarium aquaticum. Its description in RNAcentral is "partial large subunit ribosomal RNA". It matches the Rfam family "Eukaryotic large subunit ribosomal RNA", at positions 74 to 939 of the family's 3401-position model. Lineage: Eukaryota; Fungi; Ascomycota; Sordariomycetes; Conlariaceae. The record is from RNAcentral.